CAGGCAUGGGGGCACCCUGACCGCAAUGCCGCGUGAGUGAAGAAGGCCUUCGGGUUGUAAAGCUCUUUUGUCAGGGAAGAAACACCGGCUCUAACACAGUCCUGGAAUGACGGUACCUGAAGAAUAAGCACCGGCUAACUACGUGCCAGCAGCCGCGGUAAUACGUAGGGUGCAAGCGUUAAUCGUAAUUACUGGGCGUAAAGCGUGCGCAGGCGGUUAUACAAGACAGGCGUGAAAUCCCCGGGCUUAACCUGGGAAUGGCGCCUGUGACUGUAUAGCUAGAGUGUGUCAGAGGGGGGUAGAAUUCCACGUGUAGCAGUGAAAUGCGUAGAUAUGUGGAGGAAUACCAAUGGCGAAGGCAGCCCCCUGGGAUAACACUGACGCUCAUGCACGAAA
Molecule: ribosomal RNA, 396 nt
Filed under: uncultured bacterium
Lineage: Bacteria
Description: bacterial SSU rRNA
Rfam family: Bacterial small subunit ribosomal RNA
Source: RNAcentral